This 955-nucleotide long non-coding RNA is filed under the name Apteryx owenii (little spotted kiwi). Its description in RNAcentral is "lncRNA (ENSAOWG00000001636.1)". The record is from RNAcentral. Lineage: Eukaryota; Metazoa; Chordata; Aves; Apterygiformes; Apterygidae.
AACAAAAGCAAAUGAGGUAGUCAAAGGACUAGACCAAUGACCUCUGAAAGAGAUUUAGUUCCACCAGAUGUGAAGUUGCUUCUUUCAAAAGUGAAGGACUUAAAAGAUGUGAUAAAAAACUGACACUUUACUUAUAUUCAUGUUUAAAAACUGGGACUACUCACAUGCAUAAAUUCUUGUUGUAUUGUUCCCUUGGCCUAACAGUGGUGUCCUAAUAUUCACGAAUCUAAUAUAUGCAGCUAUAUUCCUGCCAUGUAGCUACAACUGUUUUAACCAAGGAGAAAAUGAAGGUUAUUUUAAUGUAAACAUAACAUAGUAAAGUUUUUAAACGCUUUUCCUUUAUUUUGGUUAAAUCAUAUGAUGUCUUUUUCUAAAAAAGUCCAUAGUCAUAAACAGAAAAUCAAUGAGGAUGAUGGGUACCUCCUCUGAAACGCAAAGAAAGAAUUUGACUCUGUGGCUUGAAACUGCCUAAUCUAGAAUUAAUUUUCUUUAAUCAUAGUAUUGACACUUCAGUUGCUUAUCUUGGAAAUGUGGUGGAAACACAACUGCUUCCUCUGAGGAACUGAAUUGCAGCCAUAUGCAGUUUCCUUCCUAACCUGCACAGGUGAAACAAGGAUAUUUUCCCCAGCAUGGCUUUCUGAACCUCGCCACUGAAAUGCAGCAGAGCAAGACAGCUGCAAUUUUAAAGCAGCCAUUUUGGAAGUAGUUACUACUUGCGCUUUGUUCUCCUAUCUGUAGAACAGCGAGUUGGCAACAGAUCUGCUGUGAAAGUUGUGAUACUUUAAAGGACAAAUAUUCUGCUGUGCUUUUCAAAACUUCAAAACAGCACUCUUUCCUUGUCUCCCUAGAGUCAUCUGAAGCUUGCCACGAUGCAGACCUAGAGCUGAAUUUUGCCUGGAAUUUAGGUUCCAGCCUAUAUUCAAAGUAUGGUAUGCAUAUACCCAGUUGUUCCCUA